CCUACGGGAGGCUGCAGUGAGGAAUAUUGGUCAAUGGCCGAAAGGCUGAACCAGCCAAGUCGCGUGAAGGACGCAGGUGCCAAGCGUUGUAAACUUCUUUUGUCAAGGGACAAAAUCGUGCUCGAGAGCCUGACCGGGGGUACUUUGAGAAAAAGCCUCGGCUAACUCCUGGCCAGCAGCCGCGGUACUACGGAGGAUGCGAGCGUUUUCCGGAUUUAUUGGGGUUAAAGGGUGCGUAGGCGGGCUGUUAAGUCAGCGGUAAAAGCUCGGGGCUCAACCCCGGCGAGCCGUUGAAACUGGCUGUCUUGAGAGGGCGAGAGGUAUGCGGAAUGCGCAGUGUAGCGGUGAAAUGCUUAGAUAUUGCGCAGAACUCCGAUUGCGAAGGCAGCAUACCGGCGGCGAUCUGACGCUGAGGCACGAAAGCGUGGGUAUCGAACAGGAUUAGAUACCCUGGUAGUC
RNAcentral lists this ribosomal RNA (459 nucleotides) under uncultured bacterium. Its description in RNAcentral is "partial 16S ribosomal RNA". It matches the Rfam family "Bacterial small subunit ribosomal RNA", at positions 338 to 795 of the family's 1533-position model. The record is from RNAcentral.